CGCCUUGCAGCUGGGUUGCUUCUCGCGUGCCCCUUGUGAUGGGAGGAUUAGAUCGCAGGCUCCACCCUACGUCAUCCUCCCAAGCUUCUCAAGCGUCUGGCGCUUGGGGUCACUGCCCCCAAGGAGGCACUUGGAGGGGGGGAUGGCGUCCACUCCGAUGGGGAAUGAGAGGGAGAAGAAGAGCAGCUGGCCGUCUCAAACUGCACCCUCCUUGAGAGGAGGUCCGGCUUCGUUAUCUCGUUCUGAGGAAUACCUGUCCCGGAUCAGUGCAGAACUCACCGAGGAGGCUUUGUGCACUGCUUGCUGCCACUUGAACCCUGUGCCCAUCAAAAAACAGCAGUCACAAGACCAAGCGACUCAGAUAUCCAAACGCGCAUUCUUCACCAAGACCUGAGGCACAGACACCUGGUGAGUGAGGCUCCAAGGGAGAUGCUUUGUCCUGGGAGAGAGCCCUCUCCCCUCUCUUCCGCCAUCUCCUGCUCCGACAGAAACCGUACCUGCAGCAAGGCACACCUCCUGCCAACUCCUGGUGAAAAGAACAUGCCUCAAAACUACUCUUUUGCCACUUGUUAACCACUUCCAUUUGUGGGGACCUCCUGGUCAUGAGCAGCAUCAUCCCGAAGCCUUCAAAGUGUUCUGGAUUCAUCACAGGACCCUCCAGCCUCAGCGAGCAAGGACACCAACAGGAAUGAAAGCGCUUUAAUAAAGAGACAGGGUGUGCAUUGCU
This 727-nucleotide small RNA is filed under the name Pongo abelii (Sumatran orangutan). RNAcentral's name for it is "processed transcript". The record is from RNAcentral. Lineage: Eukaryota; Metazoa; Chordata; Mammalia; Primates; Hominidae.